Glycine soja is the source of this 263-nucleotide long non-coding RNA. RefSeq lists it as uncharacterized. Lineage: Eukaryota; Viridiplantae; Streptophyta; Magnoliopsida; Fabales; Fabaceae. The record is from RefSeq and is a predicted model, not a curated record. The transcript has 3 exons.
AUUCUCUAAGUGGACCAAUUCCUGAUUGGAUACUGAGCAUAAAAAGGCAUAUGUAAGCAUAUCUCUUUAGUUAGCACUCAUUGAAUUAUGAAAUUUAUUCUCACUUUAUGUUCUCUUUCAGUGAUUUAUCUUUGAACAAUUUCACAAAGACUUCUGCAAAUAAUUGCCAAAUGCCGGAUGUGAACUUAGCUUCAAGCCUCUCUCGCACAGCAAACACUUCAAUAUCUUGUUUGAAGAUGGGCCAACCUUGUUCAGGAAAACCC